This is a long non-coding RNA of Python bivittatus (Burmese python), 1908 nucleotides long. RefSeq lists it as uncharacterized. Lineage: Eukaryota; Metazoa; Chordata; Lepidosauria; Squamata; Pythonidae. The record is from RefSeq and is a predicted model, not a curated record.
GUCUUACUCGAUGAAGAAGACCCGGCCGUCCCUGCAGACGCCAUAGGACCAGUGUUCAGUGGACUGUUCCAGCCUAUCAAGCAUGAAUUCCUAACAUAUAGACAAGAUGAUACACAAUUGUUUUGCUUAAAUGUACACAAAUAGCGCAUUCCGUUCCGUGCUGGUCUCCCUACGUAACACUACGAAGCAGAUAAAACAGACUAUCAUGAGGAUCAAGUGUCUAUGGGCAAGCCAUCCACCUUCCUCUAUGCAUUACAUCUGGAGUCAAAGAAAGCUACUUUAUAUAAAUAGCUUUAGAACACAGAUGUGUAAGAAAAAGCUAUAAUGGUUAAAUAUUUAUAAUGGAUUGAUGUAUAAUAUAAGCGGGCAGGAAAUGUACUAAAUUAAUACUGGUCUGACUGAAGGGAGUCUAUUUGUCACUAAGCAACCUAGAAGAGGAAAUAGGGGAUGAAAAUAGGUAUAAUUUGCUUUGUGCUGGUUUCAUGCUUUCAUUUGUUUCUAGAGUUGGCAAAGAUGUUUCAUAUAUUAUAUGUUGUGGGAUAUCUUAUUUUUAUUGUGGGUCUUUCAUUUUUUAUAUAUAUUUUAAUGUCAAAAGAUGAGAUAUAAAUGCAAAAGUUAAUAAAUUAGGAAAUAUUAAAUACCAUUAGGUUGGCAGUCUGCUGAAAUGGUUUCUCCCAUUCCCUCAUAUCAAAGAAAAGCAAUGAAAUUAUUAAAACUAUAGGCAGAUUAGAUCUCCUGUAUCUCAUCAUAGGCGUGUUAUGAGGAUUCCACCACACAAUAAAAAUAAGCACUUAAUGCAAAUGUGUGCCACCUUUCCUAGGCUGAGGGCUGCAUUUGGUUUUCAAUUACAUAUUGUGGUUUGCAUUCUAAAAAGCAAUGGCUAUGACUAGGACAAAAACUAAAUUUAAUUUGAUUUCACUUACAUUUCAUUAAAAUUAAUAAUUUUAUGUGCAUAUAUGGAGGGAAUGGUGUCCUUCAAGCUUUAAAAGAUCUUCAUCGUCAUCAUCACCACCACCAUUAAAGUUUAUAAUAUCUUUCCUGUUCAUUUCCAAGUGGCUGGUGUAUAAUUCAGGGGAAUAUAAGCAUCUACUAAAACUAUUAAGUCCUCCAGAAUAAAAUUAGUAUGCAAAAUAACAGUUAUCCCAAAGGGAGCCACUAUUACUCAUAACCAUAGCAUUUGGACCAAUGCUGCCUUUUGAGACUACAUCUUCAACAAUUAGCUGAACCUACCAGGAUGGCCCAGGAGACAAUUUCCAGAAGACAGAAUUAAUGGAUGCAGAAUAUGCCAUGUGACCAAUGCACCACAGUGUAGUGUCCUUAUCCAAUGUGUCUCAUGAGCCAUAGGAAAGGUGUGUUUCUGUAGUUUUGUAUAGCAUCUUAGAACAUUUUUGUACAUGCAAUGCUUUGUUCAUAAUUAAAAUGAAUAGCUAAAAUACAUGUAAUGCUUUGUUUAGGCAUCUCUAGGAUUAAUAGUGGGUGAGUAUUGAGGAAAUCAUACAACUGUCUUCAGAAAGCACAGAAUAUCCAUGAUGUAGCAGGUCUGGAAUGUAACAUCUCAAUGUUUAUCUCUAUCUUCUCAUUUUAAUCCAGGAUAAUAAAAAAAAAUGGGAACAGAUACAUAGACAUUUAAUGGCAUUUCAUAUGCAUUUCAGCAGAGGAAGGUUUUUCAUGAAAGAUUAAGCAGACCAUCUACAAUUUUUUAGCAACUGAACAGGAUAAUACGGGUAGUCCUUACUUUGUGACUGCCUCGUUUAGUGACCGUCAAAAUUACAACGGUGCUAAAAGAACAGCAAUCAAUCCUCAUACUUACGACCUUUGCACCAUCCCUCUACUCUUAUUUUCACUUGCUUAUUUACCCCAUACUAAGAUAUACUCAAAGACAAAGAGAAAGAACCCCAGUUCAGCUGA